This 691-nucleotide ribosomal RNA is filed under the name uncultured Verrucomicrobiota bacterium. RNAcentral describes it as "bacterial SSU rRNA". It matches the Rfam family "Bacterial small subunit ribosomal RNA", at positions 41 to 721 of the family's 1533-position model. The record is from RNAcentral. Lineage: Bacteria; Pseudomonadati; Verrucomicrobiota.
GUCGUGCGACAGACCAGGAAUUGAUUACUUCGGUUUGAUUUUCCUGACGAUGAGCGGCGAACGGGUGCGUAACACGUGAGAAAUCUGCCCUUAAGUUCGGGAUAGCCCUACGAAAGUAGAAUUAAUACCGGAUGUGGCCCAGGGAGGGCAUCUUCCCCUGGCUAAAGCUCGGUCACAGAGCGCUUUUGGAUGAUCUCGCGGUCUAUCAGCUUGUUGGUGAGGUAACGGCUCACCAAGGCUCUGACGGAUAGCUGGUCUGAGAGGAUGAUCAGUCACACUGGAACUGAGACACGGUCCAGACACCUACGGGUGGCAGCAGUCGAGAAUCAUUCACAAUGGGCGAAAGCCUGAUGGUGCGACGCCGCGUGGGGGAUGAAGGGCUUCGGUUCGUAAACCCCUGUCAUCUGCGAGUAAGGCUCCCAAUAAAAGCUUGGGAGAUUGAUAUUAGCAGAAGAGGAAGGGACGGCUAACUCAGUGCCAGCAGCCGCGGUAAUACUGAGGUCCCAAGCGUUGUUCGGAUUUACUGGGCGUAAAGGGUGCGUAGGCGGCUAUAAAAGUUUGGUGUGAAAUCUCCGGGCUCAACCCGGAAACUGCAUUGAAAACUAGAUAGCUAGAGGAUCGGAGAGGAGAUUGGAAUUCUCAGUGUAGCAGUGAAAUGCGUAGAUAUUGAGAGGAACACCAGUUGCGAAGG